This 312-nucleotide ribosomal RNA is filed under the name Triticum aestivum (bread wheat). RNAcentral describes it as "partial small subunit ribosomal RNA". The record is from RNAcentral. Lineage: Eukaryota; Viridiplantae; Streptophyta; Magnoliopsida; Poales; Poaceae.
AUGAUUUCUUCAACCUGUAUUCUUGGGAGAAGGGUUUUGGGAUCAAAUAUGGAAAGAAAUAAAUGCCGCUCAUUUUGCCGUCCUCAAAUUAUUGUUCCCGCUGGACUCUGCGAUGCAGAUGUGCGGGCGAGUGAGGAGGUGCAGGCUGUUCGACUUGGUAGUUGGUACUGCUGCCCAGAUGACAUCCGAAUCAGCUGCUUGCGGUAUGUAUCUGUAGAUUUGGAGAAUCCACAGAGUCCACCUGGGAUUAAGAGACUCACAGGGUUAGUGUGGCAUGGAUGUACACCGGAAAGAAAAGAAAACAUGAAUUAA